This 77-nucleotide microRNA precursor is filed under the name Myotis davidii. RNAcentral describes it as "mir-9229 microRNA precursor family". It matches the Rfam family "mir-9229 microRNA precursor family". Lineage: Eukaryota; Metazoa; Chordata; Mammalia; Chiroptera; Vespertilionidae. The record is from Rfam by way of RNAcentral.
GAGACACCCAAAUGGGGCAGGACUUGUUUCAGUGUGGCUUUGGUGCUCAACUGAGUCUGCCCCUUGCGUGUGUCUCU